Molecule: ribosomal RNA, 325 nt
Filed under: uncultured eukaryote
Lineage: Eukaryota
Description: partial 18S ribosomal RNA
Rfam family: Eukaryotic small subunit ribosomal RNA
Source: RNAcentral
CCCUUAGAUGUUCUGGGCCGCACGCGCGCUACACUGAUGCAUUCAACGAGUCUAAAACCUGGUCUGAUAGGGCUGGGUAAUCUUUUGAAAGUGCAUCGUGAUUGGGAUAGAUGAUUGCAAUUCUUCAUCUUCAACGAGGAAUGCCUAGUAAACGCAAGUCAUCAGCUUGCAUUGAUUACGUCCCUGCCCUUUGUACACACCGCUCGUCGCACCUACCGAUUGAAUGUUUCGGUGAAGAUUCCGGAUAGGACUGAUUUGAUUUAUUUCAUUUCUGACCUAAAAGCUAUCUAAACCUCAACAUUUAGAGGAAGGUGAAGUCGUAACA